CUGAAGUUUUGGCCGCAAGGCCACUCUUCCACCCUCUGUUUAUCACCCCUUUGUUGCUUUGGCGGGCCGCCCUUGGGCCACCGGCUCCGGCUGGUGCGCGCUCGCCAGAGACCCCAACGAACCUGUAUAUCACUGUGUCUUGUCUGAACAAAACCCCAAUUAUUA
This 165-nucleotide unclassified non-coding RNA is filed under the name uncultured Ascomycota. RNAcentral's name for it is "sequence contains ITS1". Lineage: Eukaryota; Fungi; Ascomycota. The record is from RNAcentral.